This 433-nucleotide ribosomal RNA is filed under the name uncultured bacterium. Its description in RNAcentral is "partial 16S ribosomal RNA". It matches the Rfam family "Bacterial small subunit ribosomal RNA", at positions 29 to 507 of the family's 1533-position model. The record is from RNAcentral.
AACGAACGCUGGCGGCAUGCCUAACACAUGCAAGUCGAACGAGACCUUCGGGUCUAGUGGCGCACGGGUGCGUAGCGCGUGGGAACCUGCCCUUAGGUUCGGAAUAACUCCCCGAAAGGGGUGCUAAUACCGGAUAAUGUCUUCGGACCAAAGAUUUAUCGCCUUUGGAUGGGCCCGCGUUGGAUUAGCUAGUUGGUAGGGUAAAAGCCUACCAAGGCGACGAUCCAUAGCUGGUCUGAGAGGAUGAUCAGCCACACUGGGACUGAGACACGGCCCAGACUCCUACGGGAGGCAGCAGUGGGGAAUAUUGGACAAUGGGCGAAAGCCUGGUCCAGCAAUGCCGCGUGAGUGAUGAAGGCCUUAGGGUUGUAAAGCUCUUUUACCCGGGAUGAUAAUGACAGUACCGGGAGAAUAAGCUCCGGCUAACUCCGUG